GACGAACGCUGGCGGCGCGCUUAACACAUGCAAGUCGAACGGAAAGGCCUGCUUUCCCUUGUGGAUUGCGGGUACUCGAGUGGCGAACGGGUGAGUAACACGUGAGUGAUCUGCCCCCAACUUGGGUAUAAGCCUGGGAAACUGGGUCUAAUUCCCGAUAGGACUGCAGGGUGGUGCCUGUGGUGGAAAACGAUUUUCUAGUGGUUGGGGAUGAGCUCGCGGCCUAUCAGCUUGUUGGUGGGGUACUGGCCUACCAAGGCGGCGACGGGUAGCCGGCCUGGGAGGGUGGACGGCCACAUUGGGACUGAGAUACGGCCCAGACUCCUACGGGAGGCAGCAGUGGUGAAUAUUGCACGAUGGGCGGAAGCAUGAUGCAGCGACGCCGCGUGGGGGAUGACGGCCUUCGGGUUGUAAACUCCUUUCGACCGCGAGGAAGCCACCUGGUUGGAAGGGUGGUGACGGUAGUGGUAGAAGAAGCACCGGCUAACUACGUG
This 494-nucleotide ribosomal RNA is filed under the name uncultured bacterium. RNAcentral's name for it is "partial 16S ribosomal RNA". It matches the Rfam family "Bacterial small subunit ribosomal RNA", at positions 28 to 507 of the family's 1533-position model. The record is from RNAcentral.